UCCUGUGAAAUAGAUGCUUACUCAGAAUAAAUUCUAUUGAACUCAGAGGAGCACACUUCGGAAUACACAUAUGGCCUUGCUUUUCUUCAUCUGUCCUUUAAAACAUGACGCCCUGGUAACAGAUAGAGUGCCUGGCACAUCACUAUGUCACAAUGGCUGACGUCUGAGAGGAAAAACCACAAGUAACUACAUCCCAUUUUAAAGUCACAUGAAGAGGAACUAUUUGGGUGUGCUAUGUGUCAUAGACAUCUUGUUGUUUCCAAGGGAGGAAGAGAGACCAAACGUUUUGUGGAUCAUCUUGAAAUUAUAUAGCCCUGAAGAAGAGAAAGACGAAAAUGUGAGAUGUGUGCACAACAAUUCAGAAAAUCUGAAUAAAUUGAAUGGCACAUCUCUCCUGAGAUGUGCAGAAUCACACAGACAAAUGACAAAUUCACUUUUGCAAGCACCUACCAGUGGAAUGGAGGGCGUCAACAGACUUGGACAAAGAUAACAAGAUUUGCAGAAUUAAUGCCCAUCCAUGAAGACUAACCAGAAAAUGCUGAGUGCUGAAAGAGGAAAGAGGACCACUGAAAAGUGAGUGGUAAGAAUAAAUUUUGAAAAUGACA
Anolis carolinensis (green anole) is the source of this 605-nucleotide long non-coding RNA. RefSeq lists it as uncharacterized. The record is from RefSeq and is a predicted model, not a curated record. Lineage: Eukaryota; Metazoa; Chordata; Lepidosauria; Squamata; Anolidae. The transcript has 2 exons.